This 469-nucleotide ribosomal RNA is filed under the name uncultured bacterium. Its description in RNAcentral is "bacterial SSU rRNA". It matches the Rfam family "Bacterial small subunit ribosomal RNA", at positions 355 to 839 of the family's 1533-position model. The record is from RNAcentral.
UAACGAAUCUUCCGCAAUGCGCGAAAGCGUGACGGGGCAAUGCCGCGUGCAGGAUGAAGCCCUUCGGGGUGUAAACUGCUGUCAGGGUUUACCAACACAAUGAGGCGACCCAAAGGAAGCACCGGCUAACUCUGUGCCAGCAGCCGCGGUAAUACAGAGGGUGCGAGCGUUAAUCGGAAUCACUGGGCUUAAAGCGUGCGUAGGCGGACUUGCAGGCAUGUUGUGAAAUCCCAUGGCUCAACCAUGGAAUUGCUUCGUGAACCGCAAGUCUUGAGGCUGGUAGAGGCGGUCGGAACGCUAGGUGGAGCGGUGAAAUGCGUAGAUAUCUAGCGGAACGCCAAAGGUGAAGACAGGCCGCUGGGCCAGACCUGACGCUGAGGCACGAAAGCGUGGGGAGCAAAACGGGAUUAGAUACCCCGGUAGUCCACGCCCUAAACGAUGCGCACUAGAUCGAGGAGGAUGACACCCC